GAUGAACGCUGGCGGCGUGCCUAAUACAUGCAAGUCGAGCGAACAGAUGAGGAGCUUGCUCCUCUGACGUUAGCGGCGGACGGGUGAGUAACACGUGGAUAACCUACCUAUAAGACUGAGAUAACUUCGGGAAACCGGAGCUAAUACCGGAUAAUAUAUUGAACCGCAUGGUUCAAUAGUGAAAGACGGUUUUGCUGUCACUUAUAGAUGGAUCCGCGUCGCAUUAGCUAGUUGGUAAGGUAACGGCUUACCAAGGCAACGAUGCGUAGCCGACCUGAGAGGGUGAUCGGCCACACUGGAACUGAGACACGGUCCAGACUCCUACGGGAGGCAGCAGUAGGGAAUCUUCCGCAAUGGGCGAAAGCCUGACGGAGCAACGCCGCGUGAGUGAUGAAGGUCUUCGGAUCGUAAAACUCUGUUAUUAGGGAAGAACAAAUGUGUAAGUAACUAUGCACGUCUUGACGGUACCUAAUCAGAAAGCCACGGCUAACUACGUG
This 497-nucleotide ribosomal RNA is filed under the name uncultured bacterium. RNAcentral's name for it is "partial 16S ribosomal RNA". It matches the Rfam family "Bacterial small subunit ribosomal RNA", at positions 28 to 507 of the family's 1533-position model. The record is from RNAcentral.